GUGCACCAGAUACGAGCUUGACAGUCUGCUGUGUCCCAGAUGUGGCUGUUAGGCUUCAAACGGUGCGAGAAUAACAUCAGCCAUGAGAUUUAAGCCCUUCAGUGGAAGCAACACUGAAGAGUUAUAACUCAGAGGCACAGAU
Molecule: non-coding RNA, 142 nt
Organism: Girardinichthys multiradiatus
Lineage: Eukaryota; Metazoa; Chordata; Actinopteri; Cyprinodontiformes; Goodeidae
Product: small Cajal body-specific RNA 1
Exons: 1
Source: RefSeq, a predicted model, not a curated record